Molecule: ribosomal RNA, 385 nt
Filed under: uncultured bacterium
Lineage: Bacteria
Description: bacterial SSU rRNA
Rfam family: Bacterial small subunit ribosomal RNA
Source: RNAcentral
GAUGAACGCUAGCGGCAGGCCUAAUACAUGCAAGACGAACGGCAAGAAUUGUAGCAAUAUGAUUCCUAGAGUGUCGUAAGGGUGCGUAACACGUAUGCAAUCUACCCGAAACUGGAGCAUAGCUCCCCGAAAGGGGGAAUUAACACUCCAUAAGAUCAUAGAAUGGCAUCAUUUAGUGAUUAAAACUGAGGUGGUUUCGGAUGAGCAUGCGUUUGAUUAGUUAGUUGGUGAGGUAACGGCUCACCAAGACGAUGAUCAAUAGGGGAACUGAGAGGUUGAUCCCCCACACUGGCACUGAGAUACGGGCCAGACUCCUACGGGAGGCAGCAGUAGGGAAUAUUGGACAAUGGGUGAGAGCCUGAUCCAGCCAUGCCGCGUGCAGGAA